GUUAUAUGGUCAAGUGAAUAAGCGCAUACGGUGGAUGCCUUGGCAGUCAGAGGCGAUGAAAGACGUGGUAGCCUGCGAUAAGCUUCGGGGAGUCGGCAAAC
Molecule: ribosomal RNA, 101 nt
Filed under: Pseudomonas quercus
Lineage: Bacteria; Pseudomonadati; Pseudomonadota; Gammaproteobacteria; Pseudomonadales; Pseudomonadaceae
Description: Pseudomonas sp. hsmgli-8 partial 23S ribosomal RNA
Rfam family: Bacterial large subunit ribosomal RNA
Source: RNAcentral